AUUUACAUAAUGAAGCCCCAAUCCCUGGCACCUCAGAAUGUGACCUCAUCUGGAAACAGGGUUCUUACAGAUAUAGCUAGUGAAGUCACAGUGAGGUCCUACGAGAGCAGGAAGGGCCCCUAGUCUGAUGACCAGUGUCCUCGUGAAUGGGCAUGUUGGACACAGGCACAAGAGGGAGCAGCGUGUGAGCGUGAAGAUGGCCGAGGGCAAGGGCCUGGAACAGAUCCUCCUCUCAAGGCCCUCAGAAGGAACCAAUGCUGCCAACUCCCUCAUCUGGGACUUCUAGACUCCAGAACUGUGAGACAAUACAUCCUGUCUGUUGUUAGAGCCCCAAGUUUGUGGUACCUUGUUACCUUGGCCCUAGCUGUUAAUAUUAUCAAUAUCCUAACAAAUAAGUGCUAAAGUUUGGAAUUGCCAAAUCAUUCCACCAUCUAAUCCUGGCUUAUUUUCCUGGAUUUUUUUUUUAAACUGUGAUGAAACGUGGCAUUGACGUUGCAAGAAUCUAUCCUAAGAAGACAAGUGGGAAAGCGCAGAUUCACGUACAGGGAAGAUAAACUUCAUAACACUGUUCGUAACAGAAGAAAGGGAGAGAAAGGAGGAAAACAAUCAGAGGUUCGAAGCACCUGCUCCAUGGGUCUCUCUCCUCCAAGCUGCUCCCUUGGCUGAUUGAGAACAUUCCAUUUUCUCUGGCAGGAGAGCUUUCCUUCACCAGGAAAUGAUGCUUUUGGAUCACAUGUGAAGGUUUAAAAAAAUACAGCUGCCCUGGCUUCCUGAAAUCUGGAAAGCUUUACAACAUGAAAGAAGAAUGGUUUCAUUGGAUAAUAAUCCAUCUGCAAUAAGAGCAAAGUCCAUACUACUAUUAAAUGUAUUUAUCCACUGA
Non-coding RNA from Ictidomys tridecemlineatus (thirteen-lined ground squirrel), 880 nucleotides. The record is from RefSeq and is a predicted model, not a curated record. NCBI's taxonomy places the organism in Eukaryota, Metazoa, Chordata, Mammalia, Rodentia, Sciuridae.